This 163-nucleotide ribosomal RNA is filed under the name uncultured bacterium. Its description in RNAcentral is "partial 16S rRNA". It matches the Rfam family "Bacterial small subunit ribosomal RNA", at positions 355 to 510 of the family's 1533-position model. The record is from RNAcentral.
UAGGGAAUCUUCCACAAUGGGCGAAAGCCUGAUGGAGCAACGCCGCGUGUGUGAUGAAGGGUUUCGGCUCGUAAAACACUGUUGUAAGAGAAGAAUGACAUUGAGAGUAACUGUUCAAUGUGUGACGGUAUCUUGCCAGAAAGGAACGGCUAAAUACGUGCAG